GACGAACGCUGGCGGCGUGCUUAACACAUGCAAGUCGAACGGAUAGGCCCUGCUUUUGUGGGGUGCUCGAGUGGCGAACGGGUGAGUAACAAGUGAGUAACCUGCCCUUGACUUUGGGAUAACUUCAGGAAACUGGGGCUAAUAACGGAUAGGAGCUCCUGCUGCAUGGUGGGGGUUGGAAAGUUUCGGCGGCUGGGGAUGGACUCGCGGCUUAUCAGCUUGUUGGUGGGGUAGUGGCUUACCAAGGCUUUGACGGGUAGCCGGCCUGAGAGGGUGACCGGCCACAUUGGGACUGAGAUACGGCCCAGACUCCUACGGGAGGCAGCAGUGGGGAAUAUUGCACAAUGGGCUGAAGCCUGAUGCAGCAACGCCGCGUGCGGGAUGACGGCCUUCGGGUUGUAAACCUCUUUCGCCUGUGACGAAGCGUGAGUGACGGUAAUGGGUAGAGAAGCACCGGCUAACUACGUG
RNAcentral lists this ribosomal RNA (468 nucleotides) under uncultured bacterium. RNAcentral describes it as "partial 16S ribosomal RNA". It matches the Rfam family "Bacterial small subunit ribosomal RNA", at positions 28 to 507 of the family's 1533-position model. The record is from RNAcentral.